RNAcentral lists this ribosomal RNA (482 nucleotides) under Lymantria tortivalvula. Its description in RNAcentral is "partial large subunit ribosomal RNA". Lineage: Eukaryota; Metazoa; Arthropoda; Insecta; Lepidoptera; Erebidae. The record is from RNAcentral.
UGCCCACUGAUAUACAUAUAUUAAAGGGCUGCAGUAUAUUGACUGUACAAAGGUAGCAUAAUCAUUAGUCAUUUAAUUGAUGACUUGUAUGAAAGAUUGGAUGAAAUAUAAACUGUCUUUAAAAUAAAUUAUAAAAUUUAAUUUUUAAGUUAAAAAGCUUAAAUAAAUUAAAAAGACGAGAAGACCCUAUAGAGUUUGAUUUUUUUUUUAUAUUAAAAAUUUUAUAAAUUUAUUUAUUUAAUUUAAUGGAAAAAUUUUAUUGGGGUGAUAAAAAAAUUAAAUAAACUUUUUUUAUAAUAUAUAUAUAUAUAUAUAUAUAAACAUAGAUAAGUGGGUAAAUGAUCCAAUUUUAUUGAUUAUAAGAAAAAAUUACCUUAGGGAUAACAGCGUUAUUUUAUUUUUUAGUUCAAAUAGGAAAUAAAGUUUGCGACCUCGAUGUUGGAUUAAGAUAAAAUUUAAAUGCAGAAGUUUAAAAUUUUUGA